This 228-nucleotide long non-coding RNA is filed under the name Elaeis guineensis (African oil palm). Its description in RNAcentral is "long non-coding RNA (EGUI_LNC006273)". The record is from RNAcentral. Lineage: Eukaryota; Viridiplantae; Streptophyta; Magnoliopsida; Arecales; Arecaceae.
ACAAUCUAAGGUUGUACCACCAGUAAAUUCUGUGUGCCUUUGUUCGAAAUACAAACUUAGCUUCAAAACUUCAGAGUCUACAAUCUCGGCUCUCCAACGGUGCGUCGGUGCUCGCUAGUAGUCCAAACUUCGGCACCGCGACUCGGGCCCAGCAUUUCACUAGAAAUCUGUGGCCCAACGGCCGAUGGCGCGUCGGACUCUUACGAUGACUGACAUAUCUACUUUGGC